GCCGGGCGUGGUGGUGCACACCUGUAAUCCCAGCUACUCGGGGGCUGAGGCAGAAGAAUCGCUUGAACCUAGGAGGCAGAGAUUGGAGUGAGUUGAGAUCGCGCCACUGCACUCUGCCUGGGCGACAAAGCGAGAUUCAGUCUCAA
This 146-nucleotide non-coding RNA is filed under the name Gorilla gorilla gorilla (western lowland gorilla). The record is from Rfam by way of RNAcentral. Lineage: Eukaryota; Metazoa; Chordata; Mammalia; Primates; Hominidae.